Molecule: ribosomal RNA, 260 nt
Filed under: uncultured bacterium
Lineage: Bacteria
Description: partial 16S ribosomal RNA
Rfam family: Bacterial small subunit ribosomal RNA
Source: RNAcentral
AGAGUUUGAUCAUGGCUCAGGACGAACGCUGGCGGCGUGCCUAACACAUGCAAGUCGAGCGGAGGACAGUGAGUAGCUUGCUAUGAGCUGUUUUAGCGGCGGACGGGUGAGUAACGCGUGAGCAACCGUUUCCCAGACAGGGGAAUAACACACCGAAAGGUGUACUAAUACCGCAUAAGACCACGGGAUCACAUGGUUCUGGGGUAAAAGAUUUAUCGGUUUGGGGGUGGGCUCGCGUCCGAUUAGGUAGUUGGUGAGGG